This 348-nucleotide long non-coding RNA is filed under the name Bos indicus x Bos taurus (hybrid cattle). RNAcentral's name for it is "lncRNA (ENSBIXG00000018678.1)". Lineage: Eukaryota; Metazoa; Chordata; Mammalia; Artiodactyla; Bovidae. The record is from RNAcentral.
UACUCUUGUGCUAAGAUGACCUCCUUCUAUUAAUAUGUCUCCAUUUUUUCCUCAUCUUAGGUUUAUCCAUAGCAACUUUCCUUCUCUUGGGCAUGGAGAAUGAGGGAAAGAGUUUGUGAAGCCUUCAGAGAACUCUGGAAACUUCACAGUGCUACUAACAUCAUGUCUCUAAGGAAAUGAAGCGAAGAUCUGCAUCCAGGAGAUCUCGUGCCAGCACCCAGAUUCUUCAUCCUCCUCCAGCAUUUCAGGCAGGAUGCUGGCGGGAAACCGCUGGUACACGCAAAAUGGCUAAGUCAAGGCACUAUUAACAGACAUGCUUUGGAGAAGGCAAUGGCACCCCACUCCAGU